UCCCCUUCGCGAAGCCACCAUUCCUGGUGCCGAUCUCAUCCUCUUAUCCAAAUCCUAAUAGGAAAACAAUUAUGUUUCUGUUUUUAAGAGAGGAGAAUUCACAUUUUUUUCUCACUUGGCCACUAUCGUUCCUUCUUCUUAUCCGUGUAUGCAGGGCAGAGGCUUCUAGUUUCUUCACCUGUGAUCUCUCCCUCAUCCCCUGCGCAUAGGAAGUCAGCUUCUUCACGUCGCCUCCUCCCUAGGCGCCGAUCCUACAGAGCCUCGCUGGUCAUCCCUGCUCUCUCGACGUCUCUCCCAUGGCGCCCUCCCCUUCCUGCCAUGGCCGCCCCUCCCUGCUGCAGCUCGACGCUCCUCCCUGGAGCUCGCCCCUGCCCUCUGUCCAGCGCCCUCCCUGCUGCCCAUGGUAUGGACGCCAGCCCCCUCUCUUGUUGCCAUGGAUAGCCCCUCUUCCAUCUCCUUCCCCAAGCACAAGUCCCAUGGUCGCCCAACCUAGCUCGCCCAGCCACCUCUGCUGCUCCCAUGGUGAUCUCUAAAUUUCUUAGUUGUUUUACUAGUUCUUGUUAAUAUCCUGCUGAUGUGAUGUUUUAUGUGUGUUGAUGUGUGCGAUAUGGAGUAAAAUCCUUGGAGAAAUAGGUGGAGAAGAAGGUUAAGUUCAACGCUCCUUAGGUGUUUGAUGAUAUGCUCGAACUGGUGGCCGUCUUCGUUCUUGCUGAAAUCGGGUCGGAGCAUGAUGUCGUGAGCCAAGUCGUUUGUCCGACUACUUAGUACGCUAGAUAAUUAUGCGAAUUGGAGGGCAUGGAUCAGGAUGGAUCACAAGGUGGCAUUGAUGGACCCAUCUCGAUAUGGACGACUUGAUCAAGUGUCAGGAUUGUUGAUGCUCGCCAAGCGAACGUCAUCUAACCACACUAAGCUAGUGUAUCCCAG
RNA transcript from Zea mays, 924 nucleotides. RefSeq lists it as uncharacterized. NCBI's taxonomy places the organism in Eukaryota, Viridiplantae, Streptophyta, Magnoliopsida, Poales, Poaceae. The record is from RefSeq and is a predicted model, not a curated record. The transcript is spliced from 2 exons.